GGCCCCAAUUUAUGUAAAACGUCUUACCGAUUUGGAAUCAGUAAGACAUUUUCCGAUUUUUCCAGCGUUCUCCCUUCUCUACACUCUCAUUCUCCCUUCUCCUCUCUACACCGAUCUGGUUUCGUUCUCACGUUCGUUCUCCCUUCUCCCUUUCGUUCUCCUUUGAUUUGGUUUCGGGCUCCUUUUCCCCCUUGAUUUCUUCUUCUUUUUAUAAAUUGAUUUGGGGAUUUUCUGCUUGUUUUUGUCUGAUACCUUGCUUGGGUUUUCUGCUAGUUUGGCUGUGGUGUUUGGCUUAUCUUGGGCAGACUUUCUUCACAGACUUGCUUGGGUUCUCUUUCGCUCGCUCUAUCUCUAAAUUUCUUUGGUGGAUUUCUCUUGGCGUGACGGUGUUGUUGUUGGUGUUCUCUUUGUGAACAAUCUCGUCUUCACAGAUUCAUUAUCUUAUCGAUCUGCACCUAACUUGUAAGUCAUUUUUCUCUCAAUCUGAAACCCUAAAAUAUCAAUUCUGCCCUUCGAUCUUUUUUAGAUCCAUAAUUUAUCUCAUCCAGUUUUAAUUAUACAAAUUUGAUGAUAUAUUGGGAACGUUCUCUUUACGAUUACUUUAAAAUGUCUUGAACUAAUCUCCAUUCUGCAUUACAUUUUUCUUGCUAGUUCGUUGGUGAAUUUGAUAUGUCUCAUUACUAGUUUUAGCCCAGGUUCUGUUACGUUUUUCAGCAUGUCUACCCCAUUGACGUUUUUCAGCGUCUCCAUAAGCCGCUGCCAUGCUCCUUGAAAGCUAUUGUGGUGCCUUCAAUUUUUGUUUCCAUCUCCUUUAAAAAAUUUGAUGCUUUCCAUAUUGUGGUUGUCUUUAAUUUAAAGCUGCUCUGUUUUUGAUUAGUUCAAACCCCAAUUUGUUGUUGCUUACUUGAAUCGUGUUACAAGAUGUUGCUUUGCUUCAUUGCUAAGAGGCUGCCAAACGUGCAGGGUGGCUUCCUCAAGGUGAUAAUUAUCCCAAUGCUAGCCAUGUUGGUUUUGUACUUGUUCUUGGAGAAGAUGGCAAGUGUUUUCGAACCCAUAACACUGAAGUAGUUCGUUUAGUUGAUCUACUUGAUGAAGCCAAGAACCGAAGUAAAGCAGCACUUAUCGAGCAUGGUAAGGGUGAAGAAUGGACCGAGGAGGAGAUUGAGAGUACUGCUGAUGCAGUUGGUUAUGGUGCUGUAAAAAAGCAAUUUGCAAGGAGCCUCAAGAGUCAAAGAUUCCCCCAUCUCUUAUUUUUAGUGAUAAAUUUUGAUUUUCUUGAUGCAGUCAUGCCAUUUAUACAUUUCUGCGAAAUUUUGAAGUUGUAAUGAAGUUGUAAAAUGGCUUGUGUUAUUCAAGUUGUUGGUAUUAAAUUUUGGACUCUGAGUAAUAUUUGAAUCCGCUUUACUUUUGUUGAUAGGAUAUUGAAUCCUUUUUUUGAAUCCAUUUUGUUUUUGGGGAUGACAGAUUCUGAUAUACGAAUUGAUUAGCUACUUUACUUUUUACAAUUUUUUGACUUGCUAAAUUCGGAUAUUUUGGCAGAUUCAGAUCUUUGGUCUGUUUGUUAAUGCAUAUUCAGACCGAGUCACAUAGAUGUAGUUAGUUUUGCCUAAGUUUUUGAGGGACUUGGUU
Long non-coding RNA from Gossypium raimondii (Peruvian cotton), 1629 nucleotides. RefSeq lists it as uncharacterized. Lineage: Eukaryota; Viridiplantae; Streptophyta; Magnoliopsida; Malvales; Malvaceae. The transcript has 4 exons. The record is from RefSeq and is a predicted model, not a curated record.